Molecule: ribosomal RNA, 220 nt
Filed under: uncultured bacterium
Lineage: Bacteria
Description: partial 16S ribosomal RNA
Rfam family: Bacterial small subunit ribosomal RNA
Source: RNAcentral
GCAAGUCGAGCGCUCUCUUCGGAGGGAGCGGCGGACGGGUGAGUAACGCGUGGGGAUGUGCCCUUCUCUAAGGAAUAGCCACUGGAAACGGUGAGUAAUACCUUAUACGCCCUUCGGGGGAAAGAUUUAUCGGAGAAGGAUCGGCCCGCGUUAGAUUAGAUAGUUGGUGGGGUAAUGGCCUACCAAGUCUACGAUCUAUAGCUGGUUUUAGAGGAUGAUC